This 29-nucleotide non-coding RNA is filed under the name Rattus norvegicus (Norway rat). Lineage: Eukaryota; Metazoa; Chordata; Mammalia; Rodentia; Muridae. The record is from RNAcentral.
CUCCAACUUCUGUGUCCAAAGUGUGUGCU